CAAUAGCGUAUAUUAAAGUUGUUGCAGUUAAAAAGCUCGUAGUUGGAUUUCUGCUGAGGACGAUCGGUCCGCCCACUGGGUGAGUAUCUGGCUCGGCCUUGGCAUCUUCUUGGAGAACGUUGCUGCACUUGACUGUGUGGCGCGGUAUCCAGGACUUUUACUUUGAGGAAAUUAGAGUGUUUCAAGCAGGCGCACGCCUUGAAUACAUUAGCAUGGAAUAAUGAGAUAGGACCUUGGUUCUAUUUUGUUGGUUUCUAGAGCUGAGGUAAUGAUUAAUAGGGAUAGUUGGGGGCAUUCGUAUUUAACGGUCAGAGGUGAAAUUCUUGGAUUUGUUAAAGACGGACUACUGCGAAAGCAUUUGCCAAGGAUGUUUUCAUUGA
RNAcentral lists this ribosomal RNA (380 nucleotides) under uncultured eukaryote. RNAcentral's name for it is "partial 18S ribosomal RNA". It matches the Rfam family "Eukaryotic small subunit ribosomal RNA", at positions 592 to 976 of the family's 1831-position model. The record is from RNAcentral.